This 334-nucleotide ribosomal RNA is filed under the name uncultured Fastidiosipila sp. Its description in RNAcentral is "bacterial SSU rRNA". It matches the Rfam family "Bacterial small subunit ribosomal RNA", at positions 1047 to 1382 of the family's 1533-position model. Lineage: Bacteria; Bacillati; Bacillota; Clostridia; Eubacteriales; Oscillospiraceae. The record is from RNAcentral.
GCGUUGUCGUCAGCUCGUGUCGUGAGAUGUUGGGUUAAGUCCCGCAACGAGCGCAACCCUUAUUGCCAGUUACCAUCAUUUAGUUGGGGACUCUGGCGAGACUGCCGUGGAUAACACGGAGGAAGGUGGGGACGACGUCAAAUCAUCAUGCCCCUUAUGUCCUGGGCUACACACGUACUACAAUGGCAACAACAACGAGCAGCAAGUCCGCGAGGCCAAGCGAAUCUCCAAAUGUUGUCCCAGUUCAGAUUGCAGGCUGCAACUCGCCUGCAUGAAGUCGGAAUUGCUAGUAAUGGCAGGUCAGCAUACUGCCGUGAAUACGUUCCCGGGCCUU